RNAcentral lists this long non-coding RNA (506 nucleotides) under Bos taurus (domestic cattle). Its description in RNAcentral is "long non-coding RNA NONBTAT000679". The record is from RNAcentral. Lineage: Eukaryota; Metazoa; Chordata; Mammalia; Artiodactyla; Bovidae.
AGCUAAGAAUAAAUCAUGAGAGACCUGUAAUAUUUUAUUUGUUAAAAAUGAACAGCUUCAGAUCUAAAGGUAACUUUUCCAAAAAACACCAAAAAGUACAGUGUAAAGCAUCUCCUCAUUAAAUACAAACGUUCAUUUUGUGAUGCACUGCAUCAAUGUUUUUUACACACCUUGAUGCAAAGGGAAAUUUAAGUUGCAUCUUGUUUAAUAUACCAAAGACAUUUUGUUUGAUGCACUUAAUAUCAAUAUUUGGAGGGAUUUUUAAGAUUUAAAAAGAAGGCAUUAAUAACAGCUCUGUACAAUAAUAUUUAAAAGAACAAGAAAAUGAAAACAUCUUUAUACCGUAUUUUCACAAACUGCUCUAAAGACAGCAAACUCGUGCUCAGUUGUUUUUCCUUUGUUUUAAAAUAAGUUAUCAAUAAUUCUAAACCAGUCUAAAAUGUAUUGUUCAUGAAUCAAAUCUAAGCAUUCAUACUUGCAAAAAUGUUUUGCAGUGAGUCCUUGGC